CGGCACCUCGCCUCCCGCCGCGCGAUCCCCUUCUCCCCACGCGCCGAGUCUCCCAUGACGCCCGAGCCCCCCGGCCGGCGACAAUGACCACUUCCCUGCAAGAUGGGCAGAGCGCCGCGGGCAGGGCGGCUGCCCGGGAUUCGCCGCUGGCCGCCCAGGUGUGUGGCGCUGCCCAGGGGAGGGGCGACGCCCACGACCUGGCGCCGGCACCCUGGCUGCACGCGCGAGCGCUCCUGCCCCCUCCGGACGGGACCCGCGGCUGUGCUGCAGACAGGAGAAAAAAGAAAGAUCUUGAUGUUCCGGAAAUGCCAUCUAUUCCAAACCCUUUUCCUGAGCUAUGCUGUUCUCCAUUUACAUCUGUGUUGUCAGCAGACCUGUUUCCCAAAGCAAAUUCAAGGAAAAAACAGGUGAUUAAAGUAUACAGUGAAGAUGAAACCAGCAGGGCUUUAGAUGUACCCAGUGACAUAACGGCUCGAGAUGUUUGUCAGCUGUUGAUCUUGAAGAAUCAUUACAUUGAUGACCACAGCUGGACCCUUUUUGAGCACCUGCCUCACAUAGGUGUAGAAAGAACAAUAGAAGACCACGAACUGGUGAUUGAAGUGCUAUCCAACUGGGGGAUAGAAGAAGAAAACAAACUAUACUUUAGAAAAAAUUAUGCCAAAUAUGAGUUCUUUAAAAACCCAAUGUAUUUUUUUCCAGAGCAUAUGGUAUCUUUUGCAACUGAAACCAAUGGUGAAAUAUCCCCCACACAGAUUUUGCAGAUGUUUCUGAGUUCAAGCACAUAUCCUGAAAUUCAUGGUUUCUUACAUGCGAAAGAACAGGGGAAGAAGUCUUGGAAAAAAAUUUACUUUUUUCUAAGAAGAUCUGGUUUAUAUUUUUCUACUAAAGGAACAUCAAAGGAACCGCGGCAUUUGCAGUUUUUCAGCGAAUUUGGCAAUAGUGAUAUUUAUGUGUCGCUGGCAGGCAAAAAAAAACAUGGAGCACCGACUAACUAUGGAUUCUGCUUUAAGGUGUUACCUUCAAGAUAUGCAUUAACGAUAAACAAUGUGCUGUGGCCUUCUAGCCUAACAAAGCGGGAGGGCCCCGAGACCUGAAAAUGCUCUGUGCAGAAGAAGAGCAGAGUAGGACGUGCUGGGUGACCGCGAUUAGAUUGCUUAAGUAUGGCAUGCAGCUGUACCAGAAUUAUAUGCAUCCAUAUCAAGGUAGAAGUGGCUGCAGUUCGCAGAGCAUAUCACUUAUGAGAAGUAUAUCAGAGAAUUCCCUGGUAGCAAUGGACUUCUCAGGCCAGAAAAGCAGAGUUAUAGAAAAUCCCACUGAAGCCCUUUCAGUUGCAGUUGAAGAAGGACUCGCUUGGAGGAAAAAAGGAUGUUUACGCCUGGGCACUCAUGGUAGCCCCACUGCCUCUUCACAGAGCUCUGCCACAAACAUGGCUAUCCACCGGUCCCAGCCAUGGUUUCACCACAAAAUUUCUAGAGAUGAGGCUCAGCGAUUGAUUAUUCAGCAAGGACUUGUGGAUGGAGUUUUCUUGGUACGGGAUAGUCAGAGUAACCCCAAAACUUUCGUACUGUCAAUGAGUCAUGGACAAAAAAUAAAGCACUUUCAAAUUAUACCAGUAGAAGAUGACGGUGAAAUGUUCCACACACUGGAUGAUGGCCACACAAGAUUUACAGAUCUAAUACAGCUGGUGGAGUUCUAUCAACUCAAUAAGGGCGUUCUUCCUUGCAAGUUGAAACAUUAUUGUGCUAGGAUUGCUCUCUAGACAAACCAGAAGUGACUUAUUAAACUAUUGAAGAAAAAGGACUCAAGAAAAAUAAUGAAAGACCAUAAAUAAGGGUGAAAACGUUACCAUGUGAAAAGAAUGUAUUUUACCUGCAAGUUACAAAAAAAUAGUUUGUGCAUUGCAAAUAAGCAAAGACUUGGAUUGACUUUACAUUCAUCAUUUAAAAUUCAUUAGUUAAAAUUAAAACUUAGAAAAAAAUGAC
RNAcentral lists this small RNA (1982 nucleotides) under Pongo abelii (Sumatran orangutan). Its description in RNAcentral is "retained intron". Lineage: Eukaryota; Metazoa; Chordata; Mammalia; Primates; Hominidae. The record is from RNAcentral.